This 609-nucleotide ribosomal RNA is filed under the name Paracoccus sp. (in: a-proteobacteria). RNAcentral's name for it is "partial 16S ribosomal RNA". It matches the Rfam family "Bacterial small subunit ribosomal RNA", at positions 36 to 690 of the family's 1533-position model. The record is from RNAcentral. Lineage: Bacteria; Pseudomonadati; Pseudomonadota; Alphaproteobacteria; Rhodobacterales; Paracoccaceae.
CAGGGGGGCGGUCUAACACAUGCAGUCGAGCGCGCCCUUCGGGGUGAGCGGCGGACGGGUGAGUAACGCGUGGGAACGUGCCCUUCUCUGCGGAAUAGCCUCGGGAAACUGAGAGUAAUACCGCAUACGCCCUUUGGGGGAAAGAUUUAUCGGAGAAAGAUCGGCCCGCGUUGGAUUAGGUAGUUGGUGGGGUAAUGGCCCACCAAGCCGACGAUCCAUAGCUGGUUUGAGAGGAUGAUCAGCCACACUGGGACUGAGACACGGCCCAGACUCCUACGGGAGGCAGCAGGGGGGAAUCUUAAACAAUGGGGGCAACCCUGAUCUAGCCAUGCCGCGUGAGUGAUGAAGGCCUUAGGGUUGUAAAGCUCUUUCAGCUGGGAAGAUAAUGACGGUACCAGCAAAAGAAGCCCCGGCUAACUCCGUGCCAGCAGCCGCGGUAAUACGGAGGGGGCUAGCGUUGUUCGGAAUUACUGGGCGUAAAGCGCACGUAGGCGGACCAAAAAGUUGGGGGGGAAAUCCCGGGGCUCACCCUCCGAACUGCCUUCAAAACUAUUGGUCUGGAAUUCCAAAAAAGGUGAUUGGGAAUUCCCAAUGUAGAGGUAAAAUUCA